CUAUCUACAGGCUUAACACAUGCAAGUCGAGGGGCAUCAGGAAGAAAGCUUGCUUUCUUUGCUGGCGACCGGCGCACGGGUGAGUAACACGUAUCCAACCUGCCCUUUACUCGGGGAUAGCCUUUCGAAAGAAAGAUUAAUACCCGAUGGCAUAAUGAUUCCGCAUGGUUUCAUUAUUAAAGGAUUCCGGUAAAGGAUGGGGAUGCGUUCCAUUAGGUUGUUGGUGAGGUAACGGCUCACCAAGCCUUCGAUGGAUAGGGGUUCUGAGAGGAAGGUCCCCCACAUUGGAACUGAGACACGGUCCAAACUCCUACGGGAGGCAGCAGUGAGGAAUAUUGGUCAAUGGGCGCUAGCCUGAACCAGCCAAGUAGCGUGAAGGAUGAAGGCUCUAUGGGUCGUAAACUUCUUUUAUAUAAGAAUAAAGUGCAGUAUGUAUACUGUUUUGUAUGUAUUAUAUGAAUAAGGAUCGGCUAACUCCGUGCCAGCAGCCGCGGUAAUACGGAGGAUCCGAGCGUUAUCCGGAUUUAUUGGGUUUAAAGGGAGCGUAGGUGGACUGGUAAGUCAGUUGUGAAAGUUUGCGGCUCAACCGUAAAAUUGCAGUUGAUACUGUCAGUCUUGAGUACAGUAGAGGUGGGCGGAAUUCGUGGUGUAGCGGUGAAAUGCUUAGAUAUCACGAAGAACUCCGAUUGCGAAGGCAGCUCACUGGACUGCAACUGACACUGAUGCUCGAAAGUGUGGGUAUCAAACAGGAUUAGAUACCCUGGUAGUCCACACAGUAAACGAUGAAUACUCGCUGUUUGCGAUAUACAGUAAGCGGCCAAGCGAAAGCAUUAAGUAUUCCACCUGGGGAGUACGCCGGCAACGGUGAAACUCAAAGGAAUUGACGGGGGCCCGCACAAGCGGAGGAACAUGUGGUUUAAUUCGAUGAUACGCGAGGAACCUUACCCGGGCUUAAAUUGCAGUGGAAUGAUGUGGAAACAUGUCAGUGAGCAAUCACCGCUGUGAAGGUGCUGCAUGGUUGUCGUCAGCUCGUGCCGUGAGGUGUCGGCUUAAGUGCCAUAACGAGCGCAACCCUUAUCUUUAGUUACUAACAGGUUAUGCUGAGGACUCUAGAGAGACUGCCGUCGUAAGAUGUGAGGAAGGUGGGGAUGACGUCAAAUCAGCACGGCCCUUACGUCCGGGGCUACACACGUGUUACAAUGGGGGGUACAGAAGGCAGCUAGCGGGUGACCGUAUGCUAAUCCCAAAAGCCUCUCUCAGUUCGGAUCGAAGUCUGCAACCCGACUUCGUGAAGCUGGAUUCGCUAGUAAUCGCGCAUCAGCCACGGCGCGGUGAAUACGUUCCCGGGCCUUGUACACACCGCCCGUCAAGCCAUGGGAGCCGGGGGUACCUGAAGUACGUAACCGCAAGGAUCGUCCUAGGGUAAAACUGGUGACUGGGG
This 1441-nucleotide ribosomal RNA is filed under the name uncultured organism. Its description in RNAcentral is "SSU rRNA". It matches the Rfam family "Bacterial small subunit ribosomal RNA". The record is from RNAcentral.